Molecule: ribosomal RNA, 496 nt
Filed under: uncultured bacterium
Lineage: Bacteria
Description: partial 16S ribosomal RNA
Rfam family: Bacterial small subunit ribosomal RNA
Source: RNAcentral
GAUGAACGCUGGCGGCGUGCCUAAUACAUGCAAGUCGAGCGAACAGACGAGGAGCUUGCUCCUCUGACGUUAGCGGCGGACGGGUGAGUAACACGUGGAUAACCUACCUAUAAGACUGGGAUAACUUCGGGAAACCGGAGCUAAUACCGGAUAAUAUAUUGAACCCCAUGGUUCAAUAGUGAAAGACGGUUUUGCUGUCACUUAUAGAUGGAUCCGCGCCGCAUUAGCUAGUUGGUAAGGUAACGGCUUACCAAGGCAACGAUGCGUAGCCGACCUGAGAGGGUGAUCGGCCACACUGAAACUGAGACACGGUCCAGACUCCUACGGGAGGCAGCAGUAGGGAAUCUUCCGCAAUGGGCGAAAGCCUGACGGAGCAACGCCGCGUGAGUGAUGAAGGUCUUCGGAUCGUAAAACUCUGUUAUUAGGGAAGAACAAAUGUGUAAGUAACUAUGCACGUCUUGACGGUACCUAAUCAGAAAGCCACGGCUAACUACGU